GAGAAUGCGCGGGUCGAGUGCUGUAGUUCGAUUUUUGCGUGUGUGCGUUGCUUGCGGCCUUUGUGCCUUUUUAUUCUUUGCUUACCUUUAUGAUAUAAAGACCUUAUUUCUUGCAAGGAGGAAAAGACCGCUGACUUCAGAAACAGCGGGAACCCUAGCUCGUCCCCGGUAAUUCAAGAGGAAACACUUGAGCAAUUACUGAUGUUGUAAACUGGGAUCAGAAGACAUACAUGGUAUCGUAUCCCAGGCCAGGCACAGUGGCUCACACCUGUAAUCCCAGCACUUUGGGAGGCUGAAGGCGGCAGAUCACUUGAGGUCAGGAGUUCGAGACCAGCCUGGCUUACAUGGUGAAACCCAUCUCUACUAAACAUACAAAAAUUAGCUGGACAUGGUGGUUAGCUGCACCUCUACCUCACGUGGUCCUCCAGGUCCCAGGCUGAUGGAGCAGCCUCUGUGUGUUUGGGAUGUUGUCAGUCAUAAUGGUGGACACAAAAGAGAUUAUGACAAACCGUGUAUUGUCUCCUACAAUUUCUGCUCACAGAAGUGAACAUCACUUCUUUCCACGUUUCAUUGACCAGAGCAAGUCAUGUGACCAAGCCUGAUUCAAAAUAGGCUGGAGCAAGGAGGAGCAGCAAACAUAACAUUCCCAGUUUACAGCUGAGGAAAUUAAGCUUCACGUUGCCCAAGUUUAUAGAAUGAGUCAAUGGCAGAGGUUGAACUCAGAUGACAAAAUUGGGAUCUGGACGUGUGCAAGGACUUUUCCAAAGUCAGCUGGAAAGGAGCUGCUUAGUUGAGAGGUUCGGGCUCCAGAGUCUCCUGUGAAGUUGCAGUCAAGAUGUCUGCUGGGACCCCAGUCAUUUGAAGCCCUGUCUGGGGCAGGAGAAUCUAGGUCCAAAAUGGCCGUUGCAGGAGUCCUCAUCCACACCAUGUGGGGCCUCUUCAUAGAUGUUCAAGUGUCCUCAUGGCAUGGCCACUGGCUUUCCCCAAACUAAGCAGUCUAAAAGAGCAUAAGACAGAGCCCACACUGUCUUUUGUGAAUUAGCCUUGGAAGUCUAACAGGGUUACUUCCACCACAUUCAUUAGUCGUUAGGUACAGCUCACAUUCAUGGGGAGGAAAAUCAGGGCCUGUCUUUAGAUAGGAGAUGUAUCAAAGAAUUUGUGGACAUACUUUAAAAUCACAGCACUACUCUUGAUGUACUAAGUCAGUGACUCCCCCACGAGUCUCACAGAGAAUUGACUCCUUGCCCACCUAUACUACUUUUGUGGGUAGAGAUUCACGUAGUGUGCUGGUUAUUCAACCAGUGGCUUUCUAGAAUACAAAAUGUAUGGAUACAUAUAUAUGUUCUAAGUUUUACUGAUAUGAAGAAUGUGUAGCACAGAAUUUAUAAAUAAGAAAAUAUACAGUAUUAUUUAUUGUAAAUUCCAUAAAACCUAUUGUUUUUCACAAAAGGUUUUAGUUUAUUUUUCCCAAAUGCUUGUAUCGGUAACAUUUUCUGUAUUACUUUUUUAUGUCCAGGCAAUCAACAAAACUGAAAAAGCCCAGCCUUGUAGCAUUCGCCAGUUAUUGUGUACAUGUCCCCACCAUGGUGGAUUUCAAGUUACCACUAUGAUAUCACAGAACGCAGAAUUGGAAGGAGAUUCACAGCAGCACCCCAUUAUACUAUAUUUUUACCAUACAGAUGCAGUCGGUGUAAAUUACCUGAGGAGCAUAAAUAAUAAUAAACUGAAGUUAAAUAAUUAGGAAAUGAUUUUGAAAAUUGUGUUGGUUUUUAAUAUAAGUAAUGUUUUAUAUGUCAGCUUUAAUAAAAUCUGUCUUUAACAACUAGCUUGAAGAAUUCUUGAAAAAUUAAUAAUCAGCUCUCAUGAGCUAGUGACAACUGGCUUCAGUGCACCCCUGACUAGAAACACCUUUGCCUUCCACCACAUGUGGAAUUCCCAGUAUUUCAACAAUCAGAAUUUAGCUUAUGAGCCAACCAAGAAAAAUAACAUCUUAUGUAAGAGACAGCAAUUUGAGAGAGGAAUAUCAGUCAGAAGAAACAAGGGGAAAGUAAAACUUGUAAAAGAGAGAUGAAAAUUUGAAUUUUUUAAAAGGCAUCCUUAAGCAGAUUUAAGUACAACACAAAAAGUUAAAGAAUUUAGUAGAUAAAUAGAAAGAUGAGGUGAUUACCACUGAGACACAGAUCAAUGAUCUGGAAGAUAAAAACAAAUGAUAAA
This is a long non-coding RNA of Nomascus leucogenys (northern white-cheeked gibbon), 2214 nucleotides long. RefSeq lists it as uncharacterized. The transcript has 6 exons. NCBI's taxonomy places the organism in Eukaryota, Metazoa, Chordata, Mammalia, Primates, Hylobatidae. The record is from RefSeq and is a predicted model, not a curated record.